This 1060-nucleotide ribosomal RNA is filed under the name uncultured organism. RNAcentral describes it as "bacterial SSU rRNA". It matches the Rfam family "Bacterial small subunit ribosomal RNA", at positions 59 to 1105 of the family's 1533-position model. The record is from RNAcentral.
AAGUCGGACGGUAGGGUGGUGCUUGCACUACCUGAGAGUGGCGAACGGGUGAGUAACACGUAGAUUAUCUACCUUUGGGAGUGGGAUAGCCUGUAGAAAUAUAGGGUAAUACCGCAUGAGGCCUGUUGAAGAGAUUUGGCGGGUGAAAGGAGCAAUUGUUCCGCCUGGAGAUGAGUCUGCGGUCCAUUAGUUUGUUGGUGGGGUAAUGGCCUACCAAGGCGAUGAUGGAUAGCCGGCCUGAGAGGGUGUACGGUCACACUGGGACUGAGACACGGCCCAGACUUCUACGGGAGGCAGCAGCUAAGAAUCUUCCGCAAUGGGCGAAAGCCUGACGGAGCGACGCCGCGUGAACGAUGAAGGCCGAGAGGUUGUAAAGUUCUUUUCUUGGUGAAGAAUAAAUGUAUGAGUGGAAAGCGUACAAGAUGACGUUAGCCGAGGAAUAAGCCCCGGCCAAUUACGUGCCAGCAGCCGCGGUAACACGUAAGGGGCGAGCGUUGUUCGGAAUUAUUGGGCGUAAAGGGCGUGUAGGUGGUUUUAUAAGCCUGGUGUUAAAAUCUCUGGCUCAACCAGAGUCGUGCGCUGGGAACUGUGAGACUAGAGUUCAGGAGGGGAAGCUGGAAUUCCUGGUGUAGGGGUGAAAUCUGUAGAUAUCAGGAAGAACACCGGUGGCGAAGGCGAGCUUCUAGCCAUGGACUGACGCUGAGGCGCGAAAGCGUGGGGAGCGAACAGGAUUAGAUACCCUGGUAGUCCACGCUGUAAACGAUGUGCACUGGGCGUAGGAUUCUUAUAGGAUUCUGUGCCGUAGCUAACGCGUUAAGUGCACCGCCUGGGGAGUAUGCUCGCAAGGGUGAAACUCAAAGGAAUUGACGGGGGCCCGCACAAGCAGCGGAGCGUGUGGUUUAAUUCGAUGAUACGCGAAGAACCUUACCUGGGCUUGACAUGGUGGUAGUAGUGGAGCGAAAGCGGAACGACCCUUCGGGGAGCCAUCACAGGUGCUGCAUGGCUGUCGUCAGCUCGUGUCGUGAGAUGUUGGGUUAAGUCCCGCAACGAGCGCAACCCU